RNAcentral lists this microRNA precursor (88 nucleotides) under Mus musculus (house mouse). Its description in RNAcentral is "mir-3473 microRNA precursor family". It matches the Rfam family "mir-3473 microRNA precursor family". Lineage: Eukaryota; Metazoa; Chordata; Mammalia; Rodentia; Muridae. The record is from Rfam by way of RNAcentral.
ACCACUGAGCCAUCUCUCCAGCCCCCAAAAUAAAAUCUUAGAAAAAAAAAAAGAGAGAGAUGUUGGGCUGGAGAGAUGGCUCAGCAGU